Molecule: ribosomal RNA, 216 nt
Filed under: Escherichia coli
Lineage: Bacteria; Pseudomonadati; Pseudomonadota; Gammaproteobacteria; Enterobacterales; Enterobacteriaceae
Description: partial 16S ribosomal RNA
Rfam family: Bacterial small subunit ribosomal RNA
Source: RNAcentral
UUAAAUUGAAGAGUUUGAUCAUGGCUCAGAUUGAACGCUGGCGGCAGGCCUAACACAUGCAAGUCGAACGGUAACAGGAAGCAGCUUGCUGCUUUGCUGACGAGUGGCGGACGGGUGAGUAAUGUCUGGGAAACUGCCUGAUGGAGGGGGAUAACUACUGGAAACGGUAGCUAAUACCGCAUAACRUCGCAAGACCAAAAAGGGGGACCUUAGGGC